This 403-nucleotide ribosomal RNA is filed under the name bacterium. RNAcentral describes it as "partial 16S ribosomal RNA". It matches the Rfam family "Bacterial small subunit ribosomal RNA", at positions 355 to 776 of the family's 1533-position model. The record is from RNAcentral.
UGGGGUAUAUUGCACAAUGGAGGGAACUCUGAUGCAGCGACGCCGCGUGAACGAAGAAGGCUUUCGAGUCGUAAAGUUCUUUUAUAUGGGAAGAUAAUGACGGUACCAUAAGAAAAAGCCCCGGCUAACUACGUGCCAGCAGCCGCGGUAAUACGUAGGGGGCUAGCGUUGUCCGGAAUCACUGGGCGUAAAGGGUUCGCAGGCGGAAAUUCAAGUCAGGUGUAAAAGGCAGUAGCUUAACUACUGUAAGCAUUUGAAACUGCAUAUCUUGAGAAGAGUAGAGGUAAGUGUAAUUUUUAGUGUAGCGGUGAAAUGCGUAGAUAUUAAAAAGAAUACCGGUGGCGAAGGCGGCUUACUGGGCUCAUUCUGACGCUGAGGAACGAAAGCGUGGGUAGCAAACAGG